RNAcentral lists this ribosomal RNA (2742 nucleotides) under Chloroflexota bacterium. RNAcentral's name for it is "Chloroflexi bacterium 23S ribosomal RNA". It matches the Rfam family "Bacterial large subunit ribosomal RNA". The record is from RNAcentral. Lineage: Bacteria; Bacillati; Chloroflexota.
GAUCAAGUAAGCAAGGGCAUCUGGUGGAUGCCUUGGCAUCGAGAGGCGAUGAAGGACGUAGCACGCUGCGAUAAGCCUCGGGGAGCUGCGAGCAAGCGUUGAUCCGGGGAUUUCCGAAUGGGGCAACCCGCCGCUUCGGCGGCACCGUGCGGUGAAUCCAUAGCCGUACGGGGCAAACCCGGCGAACUGAAACAUCUCAGUAGCCGGAGGAAAGGACAUCAACAGAGACUCCGCUAGUAGUGGCGAGCGAACGCGGACCAGGCCAGUGGCGCGGAUUGUGCGAACCGGAAGCGUCUGGAAAGGCGCGCCGUAGACGGUGAUAGCCCGGUACGGGUAAGCACACCUGCGUCCUCGAGUAGGGCGGGGCACGGGAAACCCUGUCUGAACAUGGGGGGACCACCCUCCAAGCCUAAGUACUCCUCGAUGACCGAUAGUGAACGAGUACCGUGAGGGAAAGGUGAAAAGUACCCCGACGAGGGGAGUGAAAGAGACCUGAAACCGGAUGCCUACAAGCAGUGGGAGCGGGUUCGCCCGUGACCGCGUACCUUUUGCAUAAUGGGUCAGCGAGUUCGUCUCCGUAGCAAGCUUAAGCCGAGAGGCGUAGGCGCAGCGAAAGCGAGUCUGAAUAGGGCGAUUGAGUUACGGGGAUGAGACCCGAAACCGGGUGAGCUAGCCAUGGGCAGGUUGAAGGCGCGGUAACACGCGCUGGAGGACCGAACCCACCUAUGUUGAAAAAUGGGGGGAUGACCUGUGGCUAGGGGUGAAAGGCCAAGCAAACCCGGAUAUAGCUGGUUCUCCGCGAAAACUAUUUCGGUAGUGCGUCGCGUAUAUCCGCCGGGGGUAGAGCACUGGAUGGGCUAGGGGGGUUCACAGCCCUACCAAACCUAACCAAACUCCGAAUACCGGUGAGAUCAAUCGCGGCAGACAGACCAUGGGUGCUAAGGUCCAUGGUCGAAAGGGAAACAGCCCAGACCGCCAGCUAAGGUCCCUAAGUCAUGGCUAAGUGGGAAAGGAUGUGGGACGGCCAAGACAACCAGGAGGUUGGCUUAGAAGCAGCCAUCCUUUAAAGAAAGCGUAACAGCUCACUGGUCUAUUAGCUAUCCUGCGCCGAAAAUGUAACGGGGCUCAAGCCAUGCACCGAAGCUGCGGGCGCGUGCUUGCGCGCGCGGUAGCGGAGCGUUCCGUAGGCCUGCGAAGGGGUGCCGUGAGGUGCUCUGGAGGUAUCGGAAGUGCGAAUGCUGACAUGAGUAGCGACAAAGAGUGUGAGAAACACUCUCGCCGAAAGUCCAAGGGUUCCUGCGUAAAGCUAAUCUGCGCAGGGUGAGCCGGCCCCUAAGGUGAGGGCGAAAGCCGUAGCCGAUGGGAAGAAGGUUAAUAUUCCUUCGCCUGCUGGAUUGUGACGGAGGCCGACCGUUGUCACGGCUUAUCGGAUUGCCGUGGCAGCCUGGGUCUUCCAGGAAACAGCACCAGCGUAUAGACCGUACCCUAAACCGACACAGGUGGACUGGUAGAGCAUACCUAGGCGCUUGAGAGAACGGUGUUGAAGGAACUCGGCAAAAUGCCUCCGUAACUUCGGGAGAAGGGGGCCCUGCGCUUGGGCAACCAGGCGUGGGGGGCACAGAGCAGGGGGUGGCGACUGUUUACUAAAAACACAGGACUCUGCGAAGCGGCAACGCGACGUAUAGGGUCUGACGCCUGCCCGGUGCCGGAAGGUUAAGGAGCGAGGUGAGAGCCUCAAACCGAAGCCCCGGUAAACGGCGGCCGUAACUAUAACGGUCCUAAGGUAGCGAAAUUCCUUGUCGGGUAAGUUCCGACCUGCACGAAUGGCGCAACGACUUCCCCGCUGUCUCCAACACCGACUCAGCGAAAUUGAACUCUCCGUGAAGAUGCGGAGUACCUGCGGUCAGACGGAAAGACCCCGUGCACCUUUACUACAGCUUUGCAGUGGUAUUAGGGGUUCGAUGUGUAGGAUAGGUGGGAGGCUUUGAAGCAUGGGCGCAAGCCCGUGUGGAGCCAACCUUGAAAUACCACCCUUCGGAUUUUUGAUAUCUAACCGAGGCCCUUCAAUCAGGGUCCGGGACCCUGCAUGGCGGGUAGUUUGGCUGGGGCGGUCGCCUCCCAAAGAGUAACGGAGGCGCGCGAUGGUGGGCUCAAGCUGGUCGGAAAUCAGCUGUGGAGUGCAAUGGCAUAAGCCCGCCUGACUGCGAGGCCGACGGGCCGAGCAGAGACGAAAGUCGGCCAUAGUGAUCCGGUGGUUCCGUGUGGAAGGGCCAUCGCUCAACGGAUAAAAGGUACGCCGGGGAUAACAGGCUGAUCUCCCCCAAGAGUCCCUAUCGACGGGGAGGUUUGGCACCUCGAUGUCGGCUCAUCACAUCCUGGGGCUGGAGCAGGUCCCAAGGGUUCGGCUGUUCGCCGAUUAAAGUGGUACGUGAGCUGGGUUUAGAACGUCGUGAGACAGUUCGGUCCCUAUCUGCCGUAGGCGUUGGAGAAUUGAGAGGAUCUGCCCCUAGUACGAGAGGACCGGGGUGGACGGACCUCUGGUGGACCGGUUGUGGCGCCAGCCGCACCGCCGGGUAGCUAAGUCCGGACGGGAUAACCGCUGAAAGCAUCUAAGCGGGAAGCCUCCCUCGAGACGGGUUCUCCCUGAAGAGCCGUGGAAGACCACCACGUUGAUAGGCCGGGUGUGGAAGCGUGGCAACACGUGAAGCUAACCGGUCCUAAUCGCUCGAUCGGCUUGAUUCU